UAGCGGAGGAAAAGAAACCAACCGGGAUUGCCUUAGUAACGGCGAGUGAAGCGGCAAAAGCUCAAAUUUGAAAUCUAGUACCUUCGGUGCUCGAGUUGUAAUUUGUAGAGGGAUACUUUGGGGCCGUUCCUUGUCUAUGUUCCUUGGAACAGGACGUCAUAGAGGGUGAGAAUCCCGUGUGGCGAGGAGUGCGGUUCUAUGUAAAGUGCCUUCGAAGAGUCGAGUUGUUUGGGAAUGCAGCUCUAAGUGGGUGGUAAAUUCCAUCUAAAGCUAAAUAUUGGCGAGAGACCGAUAGCGAACAAGUACAGUGAUGGAAAGAUGAAAAGAACUUUGAAAAGAGAGUGAAAAAGUACGUGAAAUUGUUGAAAGGGAAGGGCAUUUGAUCAGACAUGGUGUUUUGCGCCCUCUGCUCCUUGUGGGUGGGGGACUCUCGCAGCUCACUGGGCCAACAUCAGUUUUGGUGGUCGGACAAAUCCGUAGGAAUGUAGCUUACCUCGGUAAGUGUUAUAGCCUGCGGGAAUACGGCCAGCCGGGACUGAGGACUGCGACUUUUGUCAAGGAUGUUGGCAUAAUGGUUAUAUGCCG
RNAcentral lists this ribosomal RNA (585 nucleotides) under Monosporozyma servazzii. Its description in RNAcentral is "eukaryotic LSU rRNA". It matches the Rfam family "Eukaryotic large subunit ribosomal RNA", at positions 48 to 647 of the family's 3401-position model. Lineage: Eukaryota; Fungi; Ascomycota; Saccharomycetes; Saccharomycetales; Saccharomycetaceae. The record is from RNAcentral.